GAGCAGACGGGGAGACAGAGAGAGACAGACAAACCCCAGUUGGUUGCCUCCUGCACACCCCCAACCCCCAGCUGGGCCUGCAACCCAGCUCUGUGCCCUCGGCUGCUGUUGAACCUGGGACACUUCAGUCCUGGGGCCGAAGCUCUAACCCCUGAGCGAACCCGGCUUGGGCCAUUCUUUAGGAGAGUAGUAAAAGGUGGUCCUCUCGGAGAAGGCGACAGCUCAGCGGAGCUACAGGACAGGAGCGGACGAAACAGCCACCAUUCCUGUAGGUAGCCGGAGGCAGCCAGACCGGCAUGUGCAAAGGUCCUGAGGCAGGACUAGCUUGGAACAUUCAAGGAAUGAGCAGAAGACCAGGAUGGCUGGAUCAUCGUGACCCAGGACCCAUGCCCGUGGCCCACUCAGAGGACGGCACCUGGACAUCAAGGUGGGCCGACCUGCGCCCUUUCAGAAAUGACGUAAUUUAGGGUGUCGUCGCUCAGUCUCCGCAGCUCCCUGGAAGUCGCUGGAGAUCCGGGAGUCUGGGAACUCAUCCUGCUUCGGAACCUGCCGCGGUUCUAGUGGAAAGAAACCCGAGUCUGAGGUUAACCACUACAGCCCCCUAACUUUACACGAGAUCGGACCUGCCAGAUGGAGACUCAUAGCUGUAUUUUCCAGAAAAGUCUCACCUAUGAGGCUUACGAUGUCCAGAAAUUCCUCCCAAUCCCCGCAGGAGGGCCGACCGCAGAGAAGCCUUGUUUUCUGCUGCUCGAGAAACUUCUCGACACUCUCCAAAGCGGCCGAAAAUAGGAAAGACACAGAAAACCCUCCCGCGGGCGUCCCGCCUGCCAAUCUCCCGCGCGGGUGGGCGCCCGCCUGCCUGCCCCAGACCGCGCCCGAGCUUCCCCGCGCACCUCCGUCUGCGUGUGACGUCGGUGGGGGGUGAACUGAGGCUCUGCUCCGGCAGAUCAAGGGCAGCAGACGCCCGAGCCGGGGCUGCUCUCUCAAUGGGAGCUUUGUUACCCCAGAAAUGAAUCUCCUGUUACACAACCCCGGGAACUGUUUGGAAAGCACCCUCCAGAAAAAAAAAAAAAUACCUCUAACCUUCACACACACACAGCUGAACCUUAAAACCCUGCAGCCUUGAGAUCAGCAUUCUUUCUCCCUGAUGCAGGUAGGAGGAUUCUUCACGAAUGAUUUCCAGUUUGAAGAGCCGGGAGGACACGUGUGGACCCGCUGACGAGGCAGCCACAGCACAGGCUACGUGGGCAGGUCUGGGUGGGGCGGGCGGCCAGCCGGGCCCCUCUCAGGACGCACAGCCUCACAUUGCCACCGCCCUUGUCCCCGGUCAUCGGCUAACACCUAAAUGCCCAACGUUACCUAAGCACCAGUCAUCAAGAAGAAAAAAAAAAAUCGUUUUCGUCACAGGCCCUGCUUUGGAGAGUGAGAGGAGCUAUGAAAACAGAGAGCAGUGGUUUAGAAAUUAUAGUUAAGGUUGAUAUAAAGGCGGAAGGUGCAGAAAGCUUGAUUAUUUCCGUUGAAGAUUCGGCUCCCUCAGUUUUGGGAUUUUUAAAAAUCUUUUGCUCGCCCGGCUGGGCGUGGCUCAGCGGUUGAGCGUCAACCUAGAAUC
Molecule: non-coding RNA, 1609 nt
Organism: Miniopterus natalensis
Lineage: Eukaryota; Metazoa; Chordata; Mammalia; Chiroptera; Miniopteridae
Source: RefSeq, a predicted model, not a curated record